CCCAGACUCCUACGGGAGGCAGCAGUGAGGAAUAUUGGUCAAUGGGCGCGAGCCUGAACCAGCCAAGUCGCGUGAGGGAAGACGGUCCUAUGGAUUGUAAACCUCUUUUGUCGGGGAGCAAAAGACGCCACGCGUGGCGUUCCGAGAGUACCCGAAGAAAAAGCAUCGGCUAACUCCGUGCCAGCAGCCGCGGUAAUACGGAGGAUCCGAGCGUUAUCCGGAUUUAUUGGGUUUAAAGGGUGCGUAGGCGGGCUUUUAAGUCAGCGGUAAAAAUUCGGGGCUCAACCCCGUCCGGCCGUUGAAACUGGGGGCCUUGAGUGGGCGAGAAGAAGGCGGAAUGCGUGGUGUAGCGGUGAAAUGCAUAGAUAUCGCGCAGAACUCCGAUUGCGAAGGCAGCAUGCCGGCUCCACACUGACGCUGAGGCACGAAAGCGUGGGUAUCGAACAGGAUUAGAACCCCAGUAA
RNAcentral lists this ribosomal RNA (464 nucleotides) under uncultured bacterium. Its description in RNAcentral is "bacterial SSU rRNA". It matches the Rfam family "Bacterial small subunit ribosomal RNA", at positions 330 to 792 of the family's 1533-position model. The record is from RNAcentral.